UUGGAGGGCAAGUCUGGUGCCAGCAGCCGCGGUAAUUCCAGCUCCAAUAGCGUAUAUUAAAGUUGUUGCAGUUAAAAAGCUCGUAGUUGAAUUUCGGGAUCAAUGUUUCGGUCAUGCCGUUGGUAUGUACUGAUAUUAUUGGUUUCUCACCUUCUAAAGAACCGUAAUGCCAUUAAUUUGGUGUCACGGGGAAUUAGGACUGUUACCUUGAAAAAAUUAGAGUGUUUAAAGCAGGCUCACGCUUGAAUACAUUAGCAUGGAAUAAUGAAAUAGGACAUCCGAUUCUAUUUUGUUGGUUUCUAGGAUCGAUGUAAUGAUUAAUAGGGAUAGUUGGGGGCAUUAGUAUUCAAUUGUCAGAGGUGAAAUUCUUGGAUUUAUUGAAGACUAACUACUGCGAAAGCAUUUGCCAAGGAUGUUUUCAUUAAUCAAGAACGAAAGUUAGGGGAUCGAAGACGAUCAGAUACCGUCGUAGUCUUAACCAUAAACUAUGCCGACUAGGGAUCGGAUGAUGUUAAUUUUUUAAUGACUCAUUCGGCGCCUUACGGGAAACCAAAGUGUUUGGGUUC
Molecule: ribosomal RNA, 566 nt
Filed under: Funneliformis sp.
Lineage: Eukaryota; Fungi; Glomeromycota; Glomeromycetes; Glomerales; Glomeraceae
Also listed under: 1 other name
Description: SSU rRNA
Rfam family: Eukaryotic small subunit ribosomal RNA
Source: RNAcentral